This 465-nucleotide ribosomal RNA is filed under the name uncultured bacterium. RNAcentral's name for it is "partial 16S ribosomal RNA". It matches the Rfam family "Bacterial small subunit ribosomal RNA", at positions 28 to 507 of the family's 1533-position model. The record is from RNAcentral.
GACGAACGCUGGCGGCGUGCUUAACACAUGCAAGUCGAACGGAAAGGCCCCUUUGGGGGUACUCGAGUGGCGAACGGGUGAGUAACACGUGAGUAACCUGCCCUUGACUUCGGGAUAACUUCAGGAAACUGGGGCUAAUACCGGAUAGGAAUCCUUGCUGCAUGGUGGGGGUUGGAAAGCUUCGGCGGUUUUGGAUGGACUCGCGGCUUAUCUGCUUGUUGGUGGGGUAGUGGCUUACCAAGGCUUUGACGGGUAGCCGGCCUGAGAGGGCGACCGGCCACAUUGGGACUGAGAUGCGGCCCAGACUCCUACGGGAGGCAGAAGUGGGGAAUAUUGCACAAUGGGCGGAAGCCUGAUGCAGCAACGCCGCGUGCGGGAUGACGGCCUUCGGGUUGUAAACCGCUUUCAGCAGGGGCGAAGCUUGUGGUGACGGUACCUGCAGAAGAAGCACCGGCUAACUACGUG